Long non-coding RNA from Carassius gibelio (silver crucian carp), 1736 nucleotides. RefSeq lists it as uncharacterized. Lineage: Eukaryota; Metazoa; Chordata; Actinopteri; Cypriniformes; Cyprinidae. The transcript is spliced from 3 exons. The record is from RefSeq and is a predicted model, not a curated record.
UUUUGGAGAAAACUAAAAGCAAAUUCACCCAAAACAUCCAAAUCCAUUGUUGCACUUACACUUUUUCCCAUUUUCCAAAAUUCAUAAAAGGUGUUCCUAUAUAGGUUAGCUCAUUCUUUCAAGUCAUAUGUAUUCAGAGUGACCCCUACUAUCACUGUAUUAAUAUUCAAGGCAUUUUACUGUAUAGUUUUGCAGAAAACUAAAAGCAAAUUCCCCCAAAACAUCAAUCUCCAUUUUUGCACUUAAACUUUUUCCCAUUUUCAAAAAUUCAUAUAAAGUGUUCCUUUAUAGGUUAGCUCAUUCUUUUAAUGUAUAUGUAUUCAGAGUGACCCAGACUACCACUGUAUUAAUUAUCAAGGGAUUUUACUGUAUAGUUUUGGAGAAAACUAAAAGCAAAUUCACCCAAAACAUCCAAAUCCAUUGUUGCACUUACACUUUUUCCCAUUUUCCAAAAUUCAUAAAAGGUGUUCCUAUAUAGGUUAGCUCAUUCUUUCAAGUCAUAUGUAUUCAGAGUGACCCCUACUAUCACUGUAUUAAUAUUCAAGGCAUUUUACUGUAUAGUUUUGCAGAAAACUAAAAGCAAAUUCCCCCAAAACAUCAAUCUCCAUUUUUGCACUUAAACUUUUUCCCAUUUUCAAAAAUUCAUAUAAAGUGUUCCUUUAUAGGUUAGCUCAUUCUUUUAAUGUAUAUGUAUUCAGAGUGACCCAGACUACCACUGUAUUAAUUAUCAAGGGAUUUUACUGUAUAGUUUUGGAGAAAACUAAAAGCAAAUUCACCCAAAACAUCCAAAUCCAUUGUUGCACUUACACUUUUUCCCAUUUUCCAAAAUUCAUAAAAGGUGUUCCUAUAUAGGUUAGCUCAUUCUUUCAAGUCAUAUGUAUUCAGAGUGACCCCUACUAUCACUGUAUUAAUAUUCAAGGCAUUUUACUGUAUAGUUUUGCAGAAAACUAAAAGCAAAUUCCCCCAAAACAUCAAUCUCCAUUUUUGCACUUAAACUUUUUCCCAUUUUCAAAAAUUCAUAUAAAGUGUUCCUUUAUAGGUUAGCUCAUUCUUUUAAUGUAUAUGUAUUCAGAGUGACCCAGACUACCACUGUAUUAAUUAUCAAGGGAUUUUACUGUAUAGUUUUGGAGAAAACUAAAAGCAAAUUCACCCAAAACAUCCAAAUCCAUUGUUGCACUUACACUUUUUCCCAUUUUCCAAAAUUCAUAAAAGGUGUUCCUAUAUAGGUUAGCUCAUUCUUUCAAGUCAUAUGUAUUCAGAGUGACCCCUACUAUCACUGUAUUAAUAUUCAAGGCAUUUUACUGUAUAGUUUUGCAGAAAACUAAAAGCAAAUUCCCCCAAAACAUCAAUCUCCAUUUUUGCACUUAAACUUUUUCCCAUUUUCAAAAAUUCAUAUAAAGUGUUCCUUUAUAGGUUAGCUCAUUCUUUUAAUGUAUAUGUAUUCAGAGUGACCCAGACUACCACUGUAUUAAUUAUCAAGGGAUUUUACUGUAUAGUUUUGGAGAAAACUAAAAGCAAAUUCACCCAAAACAUCCAAAUCCAUUGUUGCACUUACACUUUUUCCCAUUUUCCAAAAUUCAUAAAAGGUGUUCCUAUAUAGGUUAGCUCAUUCUUUCAAGUCAUAUGUAUUCAGAGUGACCCCUACUAUCACUGUAUUAAUAUUCAAGGCAUUUUACUGUAUAGUUUUGGAGAAAACUAAAAGCAAAUUCCCGCAAAACAUCAAUCUCCAUUGUUGC